AUUGAACGCUGGCGGCAGGCCUAACACAUGCAAGUCGAGCGGAUGAAGGGAGCUUGCUCCUGGAUUCAGCGGCGGACGGGUGAGUAAUGCCUAGGAAUCUGCCUGGUAGUGGGGGAUAACGUCCGGAAACGGGCGCUAAUACCGCAUACGUCCUGAGGGAGAAAGUGGGGGAUCUUCGGACCUCACGCUAUCAGAUGAGCCUAGGUCGGAUUAGCUAGUUGGUGGGGUAAAGGCCUACCAAGGCGACGAUCCGUAACUGGUCUGAGAGGAUGAUCAGUCACACUGGAACUGAGACACGGUCCAGACUCCUACGGGAGGCAGCAGUGGGGAAUAUUGGACAAUGGGCGAAAGCCUGAUCCAGCCAUGCCGCGUGUGUGAAGAAGGUCUUCGGAUUGUAAAGCACUUUAAGUUGGGAGGAAGGGCAGUAAGUUAAGACCUUGCUGUUUUGACGUUACCAACAGAAUAAGCACCGGCUAACUUCGG
RNAcentral lists this ribosomal RNA (483 nucleotides) under uncultured bacterium. RNAcentral describes it as "partial 16S ribosomal RNA". It matches the Rfam family "Bacterial small subunit ribosomal RNA", at positions 30 to 506 of the family's 1533-position model. The record is from RNAcentral.